Camelus dromedarius (Arabian camel) is the source of this 1556-nucleotide long non-coding RNA. RefSeq lists it as uncharacterized. The transcript is spliced from 3 exons. The record is from RefSeq and is a predicted model, not a curated record. NCBI's taxonomy places the organism in Eukaryota, Metazoa, Chordata, Mammalia, Artiodactyla, Camelidae.
UACAGCCCCACACUGUUAUUUUUUUCUUGCUACACCUGAAUACACGAAUUUUCUUUUUAAAACCAAUAGAACUCUUCAAUAUUAUAAACUGUCGCUCCUUUUUAAAAAGAAAUCUAUAUAGCUAGUCCAUAUGUUUUCCAGCUAAGACAUAGCAUAAAACCUCCAUAUGUUUAAGAAUGCUGUAUUACAGACACAAUCAUACACAUACACACCCGAUGCAACUCCACACUUAUCCACUGAUGACUGAACCAUCUGAGAUAGUUGGUGGGGGAGAGGGAGAAAGAGGCUGGAGAGGAUUUUUUUUUUUUUUUACAAUAGACAUGCAUACUAUUUACUGAACAAGACAUUUUGCUCUGUGUUGUUUUUUUUUUUUAGCUUGUGGGGGAAAUCCUAAUUUUAUUUAGACUUUGUAUGGCAUGGGUUACUCAGUUCACAGCAGAGGCACCUGCAGCAAAUUAAUUUGUUGUAGCACGUUAAUUAUCUCAUAGCUUCUAUUUAGGCUGCAGCUGUUGCUAUUAUGUUAAUAAUAUUUUUUAUCACCACUGUAUACAACAGGUUAUGGCAAUAAUAGAAAUAUCUCUUUUUUUGUGUGCCCCCCCCCCCCGUUGUUUCCAUUUUUCUAUGUCAGAAGGGAAGGCUGAAAGAAAUUUAGGCAAAUUAAGCCCCAAAGCACACUAUAAUUUUCUAUUCCUGAACCGAUUUGUGAGAGAAUGGGUAACUGAAAUUAGCAAAGAAUCACCCCACACAAAGAUGGCGCGUGCAGAAUUUGUGAAAGCGAAAAAGAAGACGAAGGAGAAGCCAAAGAGGGACGGAAUACUGCAGUGCUGGGGUGCAGCUGGAGUCCAGAAAUGAUUUUUUUCGAUGAAUUUAGGAUUUUGCCGCAGUAUACAUCUGCAGUCCCAGAAUCCUCCGUGUGGCAAAGACUGUUGUGUCAAACCAGUGAAGGCCUGGAGAACACACAACUCCAAGCAUGAAGAGUAUUCCUGGCAUAACUGAAGCAGCCAUGAACAUAAGUACCACUGCUGCUGCCACCGCCACCACCAUGGCCAUCGCCUCCCACCACCUUCACCGCCCCUCCCUCGUUCAGCAGUGCACACCAGAUGCAAGCUUUCCAUAGUGGCUGUCCGCCGAAUCUGCCCAGUGGGUUCCUAGAUUACUUCUGUGUGCAAGAAUAGCCAACCAUGUAGUCUGACAAGAGGUAUUUACAACUACUUAGCCUGUUCAGCUGGAAAGAAAUCAAAAGAUAACACUGAACCCAGAGAUGAUGGAUUGCAAAUCAAAAGCCCCAAUCCAUAAAUAGCCCACUUGAUGAACUGCUAAAUGAAAAGCUGAUCCUGAUUAUUGUCCAGUGUUUGCAGGUUGUCAAAAAGAAAUAUGUAUUUUUUAACAAGCUUUCUCAGAGAAUCAGGAUUUAUUGUUUAGAAAUGCAUGGAAUAUUAUUUAGUCUUACCUUUCUGCUGGGAGAGGAUUCUUUCCAAGGAGAUUCAGAUAGAGUCCAGAGAGACCACACCCUUGUUCCACUGGUUUCUGCUGUUUCUGUUUAUUUUCAAGCCGGG